GACAGAUCAAUAUCUAAGCGGCUGUUCAGCCGUUUUAACGGGAGACGCAGUAUCACCCCUGGGCUCAAUGCGAAAAGUUCACUAGGUGCGACUGCAUUUUCUGAUCCGAUAUCAAUCAUGUCAGGAAAAUUAUGUAGGAAACGAUAUCAAUCAGGGAGCAAAAUGUUCUGGUUCAGCGAGAUGGCUAUUUUCGAUUUGCCCGCGGCGGCCUAGUACUAUCCAUUUGGACACUCAGCAUCUUCUUCAUCCUGUACGUUGUAGUCGGUGCUAGCUUGGGGGCCAUUAGAUAUGACGUAUCAUUUAUGACAGCCCUCUUCUAUAGUAAGCAUCCGAAGCACACUUAUUUGUUAGGUUCAUCGUCACCUCGGACGACAGCAGAAAGAAUAUUGGGUUAACCUAGGCUUGAGCAUCACGCCGACUGCGCAUCUCGCAAGAUUGUCUGCCGACGAUGUCUUCGCUUUCAUAGUUGUCCGCUAGGAUUGCGCCGCAAAGUUUCUGCCGACGUCCUGAUGGGGGAUCAACGCUAGAAAUGGUUACCGAAAAAAGCUCUGUCCAUGUCGACGUGGAACAAAUUAAAUCUGCAUACAAUUGGAGUUUUACCUAAAAGAAUGCCCAUACAGAACAAUGCGUCUAUGAAAAGCAAUAAGGCUAUAGACUCACGACGAUCUUCGAUGACGACCCUCAGACAAACUUCGGUGGAAUUAAUUUCUUCUCAGAAGCGCUGGUUUCAACGACAGUUACUUCCUUGCGGAUCCUCUAUUUGCUAUUCGUUCGAAAUACAGUGGUUCUAGAAAUGGCAGAAGGUGUUGUUGAAGUUGCGGAUGCUGAGACCGUAAAUAAAGUCUUUGUUGAAAAGUAGUCCUGAUUAUUGAGAUGGCCGUGCUGCGUACCUCAACUGAAGCUGAUGAGAAUGCCGAGGCUGACUCGGACUCUGGCAUUUCAAAAACUGG
Long non-coding RNA from Varroa destructor (honeybee mite), 950 nucleotides. RefSeq lists it as uncharacterized. Lineage: Eukaryota; Metazoa; Arthropoda; Arachnida; Mesostigmata; Varroidae. The record is from RefSeq and is a predicted model, not a curated record.